UGGUUCCGGCAUCGAUGAAGAACGCAGCAAAAUGCGAUACGUAAUGUGAAUUGCAGAAUUCAGUGAAUCAUCGAGUCUUUGAACGCACAUUGCGCCCUUUGGUAUUCCGAAGGGCAUGCCUGUCCGAGCGUCAUAACUUAAUCGAACAAAAAAGCUUUGAUGUUAGGGUCCUGUUGGUGCUACAACCCCCCCUUAACCCGGGGGACCAGGCCCGGAAAUCUAUUAGCCUACACGAUUGCUAGGCCAAAGCAUACGAAUCUUUUUGCCUUGCGCCUGAGCGUCACCGUGGGCGUGUUUGGAUUCUGUCCAACACCUUUUUCUUUUGACCUCGGAUCAGGUAGGAAAACCCGCUGA
This 354-nucleotide unclassified non-coding RNA is filed under the name uncultured fungus. RNAcentral describes it as "partial contains 5.8S ribosomal RNA and internal transcribed spacer 2". The stretch from base 1 to 133 matches the Rfam family "5.8S ribosomal RNA", at positions 22 to 154 of the family's 154-position model. The record is from RNAcentral. Lineage: Eukaryota; Fungi.